RNAcentral lists this long non-coding RNA (339 nucleotides) under Aquilegia coerulea. RNAcentral's name for it is "long non-coding RNA (ACOE_LNC001388)". Lineage: Eukaryota; Viridiplantae; Streptophyta; Magnoliopsida; Ranunculales; Ranunculaceae. The record is from RNAcentral.
CGCAAUUACAAAAGUUUUAUACAGUUUUACUAUCCAUUAUUACUACCGACCCCAUGAAAGGAACAAACCAAAUAAUUGCAGAAUAGCAUAAAUGUACAGCACCAAUCCAAAAGUAUGAAAACUACUGACCUCUUUCCCAGUUCUCUCGUCACGGUGAUCAAGCGAUUUCCCAGGUCUCUCAUCACGGUGAUCAAGCACUUUCCCAGGUCUCUCAUCACGGUGAUCAAGCGCUUUCCCAGGUCUCUCAUCAUGGUGAUCAAGCGAUUUAUUGUUUUGGUCAUCACCCACUAUAUGAGAUGCUGGAACCUUGUCAUUCUUCUCAGAAACGACUUUCCAUGC